UGGGGGUAGGGAAGAACUUCACCUCUUCCUGUCCUUCUAGAAACUUCCCCAACUGUAUUUUUUGAAACUAUAGAUUUGGGGACGCUGGGAGAGAUUCAGAUCUUCUAGUCUAGGGGUCAGCAUACGAAGGCCAUGGACUAAUCUGGACCCAUUUCCUAAUUUUAUACAUGACGAUUAUUGGAACGCGGCCAUGCCCACUCAUUGACCUAUUGUCCAUGGCUGACUUUGCUGUGCAACAGGAGCGUUGGGAAGGUGCAACAGGGUCUCUAUGGCCCAUAAAACCGAAUAUUUUCGCUAUCCAGCCCUUUUUAGAAAAACUCAGCAACCCUGGCUCUUCCACUGUUUAGAUUCUGGACCAUGUGCGAUGGCAGGAUCGGACCACACCGAACUACUCGGGGAACACGGACGAGGCCAGGAGAGCUCUUACACAAUUUUUUUGAUUGUAAAAUUAUAAAGAAGAAAAUAAAAAGGCACCCAUAAUUCUAUCACCCUCUAAUAAGAACGGUUAAUAUUUUGCUGUGUUUGCAUCUAGUCUUUUUCUAUUUACAUAUAAAAAUGUAAGUAUAUAUAAUUAUGUCAUUAACAUCCUACCGUGUUUAGUUUUGUAUCCGGUUGUGGGAGCCUGUGUCUCCCAUUUUACGGUGACCCUGUAGCAUAUGGAAGUUCCCAGGCUAGGGGUGAAAUUGGAGUCACAGCUGCCAGCCUACGGCUGCAGCCACAGCCAUGAAAUAUCUGAGCCAUAUCUGCGACCUAUACCACAGCUCACAGGAAUGCUAAAUCCUUAACUCACUGAGUGGGGCCAGAGAUCAAACCCACGUCCUCAUGGAUAAGAGUCAGGUUCAUUACUGCUGAGAUACAGCGGGAAUUCCAGUCCGAGUUUGAACAAGCCCUCCAGGUAACCUGAAUGCAUGUUCAAGUGCCAGACCCACUGCCCUGAGCUUGAUCCACAGAGGUUAGUGGGAGAAUACAGACCCACCCUGAGUCCUCCUUGGUUUCAUCACAUACUGGGGAAGAAGUGGGACACGAUCCUUUGUCCUGUCAUGAUUGGGAGGGAGUCAGAGCCUCCUGGAGAUGUCUCGGAAUCUUUAAAUAAGCCCAGGCUCUUUCAUAGUAAUUUUUUGUUUCCUGGAAAAGUAGGCUUCUCCCUGUUCUGGGCUGUGGCAGCAAGAUUAUUUGAAUUGGGGAAAAAUGCUAAGAGUGAAAAUGCAAUAAAGUAUCAAAUGGAGAAAAUGCGGUUUUCAGUUGAGCCACACAAUUAAACAUUAAGGGAUAGUUUAGUGGUUAAUAGUAAUUAUUAUUCCUCUGACAUGUAUUAUCUCAGAAACCACGGGACAUGGCUGAAUUGCAAGGAAUUUAGGUGUAGAAGGCAUAGCCAAUGACCCCACGGUCAGGUUCAAUGUUGAGGUGUCCUUCCUCCAUCCACAAUUAAAGGCUGACCCUUAAUGCAUCAAAAGUUAUUUAUCAAAAGUUUGCCCGCAGUCUCUGUACUGGGACUUGCUAAAAACAAAACAAAAUAAGACGAACAGAGUCUUACAAAGCUAAACAUAGCCUUACCCUACAAUGCAGCAGUCCUAUGCCUGGGUCUUUACCUAACUGAUUUGCAAACUUAUGCCUUGCACACAAAUGUUUAUAGCAGCUUUAUUCAUGAUCACCAAAACCUGGAAGGAACUGUUAUAUCCUCUGUAGCCUUGUUUUGUUUUGAUUUGUUUUGGCUUUGGCCUUGCCCUGGGCAUGUGGAAGGUCCCAGGUUGGUGAUCGAACUUGAGCCAUAGCAGUGACUUGAACCACUGCAGUAACAAGUUCACCAAGAGAACGCUGUGUCCUUUGAAGGGGAAUGGAUCGAGAAAAUUUGAUGCAACAGAAUACUGUACAGU
RNAcentral lists this long non-coding RNA (1874 nucleotides) under Sus scrofa (pig). RNAcentral describes it as "lncRNA (ENSSSCG00040008912.1)". The record is from RNAcentral. Lineage: Eukaryota; Metazoa; Chordata; Mammalia; Artiodactyla; Suidae.